RNAcentral lists this signal recognition particle RNA (264 nucleotides) under Syntrophomonadaceae bacterium. Its description in RNAcentral is "signal recognition particle sRNA large type". It matches the Rfam family "Bacterial large signal recognition particle RNA". Rfam says of the family: The signal recognition particle (SRP) is a universally conserved ribonucleoprotein involved in the co-translational targeting of proteins to membranes. Archaeal SRP consists of a 7S RNA and homologues of the eukaryotic SRP19 and SRP54 proteins. In most bacteria, the SRP consists of a 4.5S RNA and the Ffh protein (a homologue of the eukaryotic SRP54 protein). Lineage: Bacteria; Bacillati; Bacillota; Clostridia; Eubacteriales; Syntrophomonadaceae. The record is from RNAcentral.
CCGCGCUAGACGGGGAGGUAGCGGUGCCCUGUACCUGCAACCCGCUGUAGCAGGGUCGAAUUCCUGGCCCCGGGACUGUCUUGUGAGGUCCGGCCUGAGUAAGUGAUGAAGAUAUUCAGGUCCUACGCAACGGGAAAUCCUGAACCGUGUCAGGUCCGGGAGGAAGCAGCACUAAGGGAUCCAUCCCGUGUGCCGUGGGGUAGCCUGAAUGGAGUUAACUGCUCAGGUAACGCUCGGAAGGCAGUUUCAAAGCCAGGUGCGCGG